This 316-nucleotide long non-coding RNA is filed under the name Rattus norvegicus (Norway rat). RNAcentral's name for it is "long non-coding RNA NONRATT023168". Lineage: Eukaryota; Metazoa; Chordata; Mammalia; Rodentia; Muridae. The record is from RNAcentral.
UGUACCGACCCCUGAGCCCCCCUUCAGGAACCGUUCGGAGCUCGAGACAUGUCGCGAUUGAGGAGAUACGAGGUGGCGCUGGAAGCGGAGGAGGAGAUCUACUGGGGCUGCUUCUACUUUUUUCCUUGGCUGCGAAUGUGGCGCAGGGAGCGGAGCUCGGCGCACCCCCGGGAGCAGAAGCUGGAGCCUCUGCGGGGCCUAAUGAGCUGUUUGUCGAGCGGCCUGAGGCCUGCUCCCCAGCGCUCAGGUCGCGGUCUCCUCUGUCGCACCCCCACCGCUGCUGCACAGACAGCCGGUGCAUUAAAGAUUUAAAGUC